AUUGAACGCUGGCGGCAUGCCUUACACAUGCAAGUCGAACGGCAGCACGGGAGCAAUCCUGGUGGCGAGUGGCGAACGGGUGAGUAAUACAUCGGAACGUGCCCAAUCGUGGGGGAUAACGUAGCGAAAGUUACGCUAAUACCGCAUACGAUCUACGGAUGAAAGCGGGGGAUCGCAAGACCUCGCGCGAGUGGAGCGGCCGAUGUCAGAUUAGGUAGUUGGUGGGGUAAAGGCUCACCAAGCCAACGAUCUGUAGCUGGUCUGAGAGGAUGAUCCGCCACACUGGAACUGAGACACGGUCCAGACUCCUACGGGAGGCAGCAGUGGGGAAUUUUGGACAAUGGGGGCAACCCUGAUCCAGCCAUGCCGCGUGAGUGAAGAAGGCCU
This 387-nucleotide ribosomal RNA is filed under the name uncultured bacterium. RNAcentral's name for it is "bacterial SSU rRNA". It matches the Rfam family "Bacterial small subunit ribosomal RNA", at positions 30 to 417 of the family's 1533-position model. The record is from RNAcentral.